GAUGAACGCUGGCGGCGUGCCUAAUACAUGCAAGUCGAGCGAACGGACGAUAAGCUUGCUUCUCUGCUGUUAGCGGCGGACGGGUGAGUAACACGUGGAUAACCUACCUAUAAGUCUGGGAUAACUUCGGGAAACCGGAGCUACUACCGGCUAAUAUUUUGAACCGCAUGGUUCAAAAGUGAAAGACGGUCUUGCCGUCACUAUUAGCUGGAUCCGCGCUGGAUUAGCUAGUUGGUAAGGUAACGGCUUACCAAGGCAACGAUGCAUAGCCGACCUGAGAGGGUGAUCGGCCACACUGGAACUGAGACACGGUCCAGACUCCUACGGGAGGCAGCAGUAGGGAAUCUUGCGCAAUGGGCGAAAGCCUGACGGAGCAACGCCGCGUGAGUGAUGAAGGUCUUCGGAUCGUAAAACUCUGUUAUUAGGGAAGAACAUAUGUGUAAGUAACUGUGCACAUCUUGACGGUACCUAAUCAGAAAGCCACGGCUAACUACGUG
RNAcentral lists this ribosomal RNA (497 nucleotides) under uncultured bacterium. Its description in RNAcentral is "partial 16S ribosomal RNA". It matches the Rfam family "Bacterial small subunit ribosomal RNA", at positions 28 to 507 of the family's 1533-position model. The record is from RNAcentral.